AAAUAUGAUGACAUCAAAAAGGUGGUGAAGCAGGCAUCAGAGGGCCCCCUCAAGGGCAUUCUGGGCUACACUGAGCACCCAGGCUGUCUUCUCCGACUUUAACAGUGACACCCACUCUUCCACCUUCGAUGCUGGGGCUGGCAUUGCCCUCAGUGACCACUUUAUCAAGCUCAUUUCCUGGUAUGACAAUGAAUUUGGCUAUAGCAAUAGAGUGGUGGACCUCAUGGCCCACAUGGCCUCCAAG
Molecule: long non-coding RNA, 244 nt
Filed under: Homo sapiens (human)
Lineage: Eukaryota; Metazoa; Chordata; Mammalia; Primates; Hominidae
Description: non-protein coding lnc-FBXL5-10:1
Source: RNAcentral